RNAcentral lists this ribosomal RNA (253 nucleotides) under uncultured bacterium. RNAcentral's name for it is "partial 16S ribosomal RNA". It matches the Rfam family "Bacterial small subunit ribosomal RNA", at positions 524 to 776 of the family's 1533-position model. The record is from RNAcentral.
UACGUAGGGGGCAAGCGUUGUCCGGAUUUAUUGGGCGUAAAGAGCGUGUAGGCGGCCAAGCAGGUCAGCUGUGAAAACUCGGGGCUCAACCUCGAGACGUCGGUUGAAACCGCUUGGCUAGAGUCCGGAAGAGGAGAGUGGAAUUCCCGGUGUAGCGGUGAAAUGCGCAGAUAUCGGGAAGAACACCCGUGGCGAAGGCGGCUCUCUGGGACGGUACUGACGCUGAGACGCGAAAGCGUGGGGAGCGAACAGG